This 2306-nucleotide long non-coding RNA is filed under the name Gouania willdenowi (blunt-snouted clingfish). Its description in RNAcentral is "lncRNA (ENSGWIG00000016217.1)". Lineage: Eukaryota; Metazoa; Chordata; Actinopteri; Blenniiformes; Gobiesocidae. The record is from RNAcentral.
CUGAGAAAGAAGUACAAGUCCAUUACAUCAACAAGGAAUUAUAGAAACGAAAAAAUGGAGAGUACUCUCUUAAACCAAAAACCUGAUAUGGAGUCAUCUUCUGACAGACCCACCAUGAUUCAACAACAGAACAUGAACAUCUCCCAAAAGGAAGAAAUUGCUUCCCGAUUCCUCACAUUGGAUGAAGAUCCCAGCAUCCAGUACAAUGCAGUUUUGGCUCUGGGCAGCCUGGUACACAGUGAAGAGCUGGCUACGACUGCAGUGAAGAAAGACAUCCGAGACCACAGCAGAGCGGCAAAAACCGAACACACCGCGCUGCCGUAUCAAACACCUGCUACAAGGACCCCACCUAGAACCCGCAUCCCCAAACCCAUCAAUGCCCCAACAUGCAAACCCCGGGGAGGGCCCAGGGAGCUCCCCAUCCGAGACCCCAGCAGAGCGGCCCAGACCGAACACACCACGCUGCCGCCCCAAACACCUGCUACGAGGACCCCACCUAGAACCCUCAUCCCCAAACCCAUCCAUGCCCCAACACCCAACCCCCGAAGAGGGCCAAGGGAGCCCCCCAUCCGAGACCUCAGUAGAGCAGCAAAAACCAAACACACCACGCUGACGCAUCAAACACCUGCUACGAGGACCCCACCUAGAACCCGCAUCCCCAAACCCAUCCAUGCCCCAACAUGCGAACCCCGGGGAGGGCCCAGGGAGCUCCCCAUCCAAGACCCGAGCAGAGCGGCCAGGAUCAAACACACCACGCUGCCGCCCCAAACACCUGCUACAAGGAGCCCUGUUAGAACCCACAUCCCCAAACCCAUUAAUGCCCCAACACCCAACCCUGAGGGACGGCCCAAGGAGACCCCCAUCCGAACCAUCAGCAGAGCAGCAAAAAACAAACACACAACGCUGCCGCACCCAACACCUGCUACGAGGACCCCAGCAAGAAACCACAUACCCAAACCCAUCCAUGCCCCAACACCCAACCCCCGGGGAGGGCCCAAGGAGCCCCCCAUCCGAACCAUCAGCAGAGCAGCAAAAAACAAACACACAACGCUGCCGCACCCAACACCUGCUACGAGCACCCCAGCAAGAAACCACAUACCCAAACCCAGCCAUGCCCCAACACCCAACCCCCGGGGAGGGCCCAGGGAGCCCCCCAUCCGAGACUUCAGUAGAGCAGCAAAAAUUGAACGCACUACGCUGCUGCCCCGAACAUACGCUAUGAGAACCCCUGCGAGAACCCACAUCUCCAAUCCCCUCCAUGCCCCAACAUGCAAACCUCGAGGAGGGCCCAGGGAGCUCCCCAUCCAAGACCCCAGCAGAGCGGCCAGGAUCGAACACACCACGCUGCCGCCCCGAACACCUGCUACAAGGACCCCUGCUAGAACCCACAUCGCUAAACCCAUUAAUGCCCCAACGCCCAACCCCCGGGGAGGGCCCAAGGAGCACCCCAUCCGAGACCCAAGCAAAAGAGUCAUGACCCACACCCAGAGAAAAAUCACAGGGUGCCCGCCAGUGGCCAGGUUCAGAGCCAAUAGAGGCAAGACUCCAGGCCAAGAGGUGACUGAUCCUGAGGCAGCACCGGUGGCAAGGCCCCACAACAUAAUCCAAGAACCUCGGCCAAUCACCCCAGAAACAACUGAUCCUGAGGCAGCACCGGUGGCAAGCACCCCCAACAUCAUCCACGAACCCCGGCCAAUCACCCCAGAAGCAAUUGAUCCUGAGAUAGCACCUGUGGCAAACCCCCCCACCGUCACCAAAGAACCCCAGCCAAUCACCCCAAAAGCAACUGAUCCCGUGGCAGCAUUGGUGGUGAGCCCCCCCACCGUCACCCAAGAACCCUGGCCAAUCAACCCAGAAGCAACUGAUCCCGAGGCAGAAUUGGUGGCGAGCCCCCCCACCGUCACCCAAGAACCCUGGUCAAUCAACCGAGAAGCAUCUGAUCCCGAGGCAGCAUUGGUGCGGAGCCCCCCCACCGUCACCCAAGAACCCUGGCCAAUCAACCCAGAAGCAACUGAUCCUGAGGCAGCACCGGUGGCAAGCCCCCCCACCGUCACCCAAGAACCCUGGCCAAUCAACCGAGAAGCAUCUGAUCCCGAGGCAGCAUUGGUGCGGAGCCCCCCCACUGUCACCCAAGAACCCUGGCCAAUCAACACAGAAGCAACUGAUCCUUAGGCAGCACCGGUGGCAAGCCCCCCCACCGUCACCCAAGAACCCAGGCCAAUCAGCCCAGAAUCAACUGAUCCUUAGGCAGCACCGGUGGCAAGCCCCCCCCACCGUCACCCAAAAACCCCGGCCAAUCAACCCAG